CCUACGGGAGGCUGCAGUGAGGAAUAUUGGUCAAUGGGCGCGAGCCUGAACCAGCCAAGUCGCGUGAGGGAAGACGGCCCUACGGGUUGUAAACCUCUUUUGCCGGGGAGCAACGGGCGCCACGUGUGGCGCCACUGAGAGUACCCGGAGAAACAGCAUCGGCUAACUCCGCGCCAGCAGCCGCGGUAAUACGGAGGAUGCGAGCGUUAUCGGGAUUUAAUGGGUUUAAAGGGUGCGUAGGCGGAGCGGUAAGUCAGGGGUCAAAUGGAGGGGUUCAACCCCUUACCGCCAUGGAAACUGGCGCUUUUGAGUGGAAGAGAAGUAUGCGGAAUGCGUGGUGUAGCGGUGAAAUGCAUAGAUAUCACGCAGAACCCCGAUUGCGAAGGCAGCAUGCCGGCUUCCUACUGACGCUGAGGCACGAAAGCGUGGGGAGCGAACAGGAUUAGAUACCCUUGUAGUC
This 460-nucleotide ribosomal RNA is filed under the name uncultured bacterium. RNAcentral describes it as "partial 16S ribosomal RNA". It matches the Rfam family "Bacterial small subunit ribosomal RNA", at positions 338 to 795 of the family's 1533-position model. The record is from RNAcentral.